RNAcentral lists this transfer RNA (74 nucleotides) under Shewanella algicola. RNAcentral describes it as "tRNA-Met". Lineage: Bacteria; Pseudomonadati; Pseudomonadota; Gammaproteobacteria; Alteromonadales; Shewanellaceae. The record is from RNAcentral.
GGUUCACUGGUGUUUAGCUAAAAAUUAGACUCAUAAUCGUCAGGUCCCCAGUUCGAGUCUGGGAGGGGCCACCA